GACGAACGCUGGCGGCGUGCUUAACACAUGCAAGUCGAACGGUAAGGCCCUUCGGGGUACACGAGUGACGAACGGGUGAGUAACACGUGGGUGAUCUGCCCUACACUUCGGGAUAAGCCUGGGAAACUGGGUCUAAUACCGGAUAGGACCCUGGGAUGCAUGUCCUGGGGUGGAAAGCUUUUGCGGUGUGGGAUGGGCCCGCGGCCUACCAGCUUGUUGGUGGGGUGAUGGCCUACCAAGGCGACGACGGGUAGCCGGCCUGAGAGGGUGACCGGCCCGACUGGGACAGACAAACGGCCUGGACUGCUACGGGGAGCAGCAGUGGGGAAUAUUGCACAAUGGGCGCAAGCAUGAUGCAGCGACGCCGCGUGAGGGAUGACGGCCUUCGGGUUGUAGACCUCUUUCAGCACCGACGAAGCGCAAGUGACGGUAGGUGCAGAAGAAGGACCGGCCAACUACGUGCCAGCCGCCGCCGUAA
Molecule: ribosomal RNA, 478 nt
Filed under: uncultured bacterium
Lineage: Bacteria
Description: partial 16S ribosomal RNA
Rfam family: Bacterial small subunit ribosomal RNA
Source: RNAcentral